UACGUAGGGUGCGAGCGUUGUCCGGAAUUAUUGGGCGUAAAGAGCUCGUAGGCGGUCUGUCGCGUCGAAUGUGAAAACCCGGGGCUCAACUCCGGGCUUGCAUUCGAUACGGGCAGGCUAGAGUUCGGUAGGGGAGUCUGGAAUUCCUGGUGUAGCGGUGAAAUGCGCAGAUAUCAGGAGGAACACCGGUGGCGAAGGCGGGUCUCUGGGCCGAUACUGACGCUGAGGAGCGAAAGUGUGGGGAGCGAACAGG
RNAcentral lists this ribosomal RNA (253 nucleotides) under uncultured bacterium. RNAcentral's name for it is "partial 16S ribosomal RNA". It matches the Rfam family "Bacterial small subunit ribosomal RNA", at positions 524 to 776 of the family's 1533-position model. The record is from RNAcentral.